This 245-nucleotide unclassified non-coding RNA is filed under the name Hevea brasiliensis (rubber tree). The record is from RNAcentral. Lineage: Eukaryota; Viridiplantae; Streptophyta; Magnoliopsida; Malpighiales; Euphorbiaceae.
UUAAUUUUUUUCCAAAAAUAAAAAUAAAAACCACAAAUUAAAGACUACAACAACAUUUUAAUCCCUUCCUAAUUUCCUUUUCUCUCUUGAAUACAAUACAAAAAAGAAUUAUCGAUUUAACAAAUUUUUGCAUGUUUAUGUUCAUUACUGAACACCUCGAGAAGAAAAGAAAAAUGAAAGAAAAAAAUAAUCUAAGCCCAGAUUGCAAGCGAGGCCAUCAAUCCAGCUCCAAGAAAGAGCAUGAA